GAUGAACGCUGGCGGCGUGCCUAAUACAUGCAAGUCGAGCGAACGGACGAGAAGCUUGCUUCUCUGCUGUUAGCGGCGGACGGGUGAGUAACACGUGGAUAACCUACCUAUAAGACUGGGAUAACUUCGUGAAACCGGAGCUAAUACCGGAUCAUAUUUUGAACCGCAUGGUUCAAAAGUGAAAGACGGCCUUGCUGUCACUUAUAGAUGGUUCCGCGGUGCAUUAGCUAGUUGGUAAGGUAACGGCUUACCAAGGCAACGAUGCAGAGCCGACCUGAGAGGGGGAACGGCCACACUGGAACUGAGACACGGUCCAGACUCCUACGGGGGGCAGCAGGAGGGGAUCUUCCGAAAUGGGCGAAAGCCUGAAGGAGCAACGCCGCGGGAGUGAUGAAGGUCCUCGGAUCGGAAAACUCUGUUAUUAGGGAAGAAAAUAUGUGUAAGUAACAGCGCACAUCUUGACGGGACCUAAUCAGAAAGCCACGGGUAACUACGGGC
This 498-nucleotide ribosomal RNA is filed under the name uncultured bacterium. RNAcentral's name for it is "partial 16S ribosomal RNA". It matches the Rfam family "Bacterial small subunit ribosomal RNA", at positions 28 to 508 of the family's 1533-position model. The record is from RNAcentral.